This 301-nucleotide ribosomal RNA is filed under the name uncultured bacterium. Its description in RNAcentral is "partial 16S ribosomal RNA". It matches the Rfam family "Bacterial small subunit ribosomal RNA", at positions 509 to 807 of the family's 1533-position model. The record is from RNAcentral.
CAGUAGCCGCGGGAAUACGGAGGAUCCGAGCGUUAUCCGGAAUUAUUGGGUUUAAAGGGUGCGUAGGCGGAUAGAUAAGUCAGUGGUGAAAGACGGUGGCUCAACCAUCGCAGUGCCGUUGAUACUGUUUAUCUUGAAUAUGGAUGAGGUAGGCGGAAUGUGGCAAGUAGCGGUGAAAUGCAUAGAUAUGCCACAGAACACCGAUUGCGAAGGCAGCUUACCAAGGCAAAAUUGACGCUGAGGCACGAAAGCGUGGGGAUCGAACAGGAUUAGAUACCCCUGUAGUCCCUGUCUCUUAUAC